This 468-nucleotide ribosomal RNA is filed under the name uncultured bacterium. RNAcentral describes it as "partial 16S ribosomal RNA". It matches the Rfam family "Bacterial small subunit ribosomal RNA", at positions 28 to 507 of the family's 1533-position model. The record is from RNAcentral.
GACGAACGCUGGCGGCGUGCUUAACACAUGCCAGUCGAACGGAAAGGCCCUGCUUUUUUGGGGUUCUCGAGUGGCGAACGGGUGAGUAACACGUGAGUAACCUGCUCUUCAUUUUGGGAUAACUUCAGGAAACUGGGGCUAAUACCGGAUAGGAGCUCCUGCUGCAUGGUGGGGGGUGGAAAGUUUCGGCGGUUGGGGAUGGACUCGCGGCUUAUCAGCUUGUUGGUGGGGUAGUGGCUUACCAAGGCUUUGACGGGUAGCCGGCCUGAGAGGGGGACCGGGAACAUGGGGACUGAGAUACGGCCCAGACUCGUACGGGAGGCAGCAGUGGGGAAUAUUGCACAAUGGGCGGAAGCCGGAUGAAGCAACGCCGCGUGCGGGAUGACGGCCUUCGGGUUGUAAACAGCAUCCGCCUGUGACGAAGCGUGAGUGACGGUAAUGGAUAAAGAAGCACCGGCUAACUACGUG